AAGACUUGUGAAACAUUAACACACAUCUCUUGAAUGCAACUCAAGCACUUUAAUUAAGCUAAAGCCUC
This 68-nucleotide transfer RNA is filed under the name Anolis insignis. Its description in RNAcentral is "tRNA-Ala". The record is from RNAcentral. Lineage: Eukaryota; Metazoa; Chordata; Lepidosauria; Squamata; Anolidae.